AGAGUUUGAUCCUGGCUCAGGAUGAACGCUGGCGGCGUGCCUAAUACAUGCAAGUCGAGCGAACGGACGAGAAGCUUGCUUCUCUGAUGUUAGCGGCGGACGGGUGAGUAACACGUGGAUAACCUACCUAUAAGACUGGGAUAACUUCGGGAAACCGGAGCUAAUACCGGAUGAUAUUUUGAACCGCAUGGUUCAAAAGUGAAAGACGGUCUUGCUGUCACUUAUAGAUGGAUCCGCGCUGCAUUAGCUAGUUGGUAAGGUAACGGCUUACCAAGGCAACGAUGCAUAGCCGACCUGAGAGGGUGAUCGGCCACACUGGAACUGAGACACGGUCCAGACUCCUACGGGAGGCAGCAGUAGGGAAUCUUCCGCAAUGGGCGAAAGCCUGACGGAGCAACGCCGCGUGAGUGAUGAAGGUCUUCGGAUCGUAAAACUCUGUUAUUAGGGAAGAACAUAUGUGUAAGUAACUGUGCACAUCUUGACGGUACCUAAUCAGAAAGCCACGGCUAACUACGUGCCAGCAGCCGCGGUAAUACGUAGGUGGCAAGCGUUAUCCGGAAUUAUUGGGCGUAAAGCGCGCGUAGGCGGUUUUUUAAGUCUGAUGUGAAAGCCCACGGCUCAACCGUGGAGGGUCAUUGGAAACUGGAAAACUUGAGUGCAGAAGAGGAAAGUGGAAUUCCAUGUGUAGCGGUGAAAUGCGCAGAGAUAUGGAGGAACACCAGUGGCGAAGGCGACUUUCUGGUCUGUAACUGACGCUGAUGUGCGAAAGCGUGGGGAUCAAACAGGAUUAGAUACCCUGGUAGUCCACGCCGUAAACGAUGAGUGCUAAGUGUUAGGGGGUUUCCGCCCCUUAGUGCUGCAGCUAACGCAUUAAGCACUCCGCCUGGGGAGUACGACCGCAAGGUUGAAACUCAAAGGAAUUGACGGGGACCCGCACAAGCGGUGGAGCAUGUGGUUUAAUUCGAAGCAACGCGAAGAACCUUACCAAAUCUUGACAUCCUUUGACAACUCUAGAGAUAGAGCCUUCCCCUUCGGGGGACAAAGUGACAGGUGGUGCAUGGUUGUCGUCAGCUCGUGUCGUGAGAUGUUGGGUUAAGUCCCGCAACGAGCGCAACCCUUAAGCUUAGUUGCCAUCAUUAAGUUGGGCACUCUAAGUUGACUGCCGGUGACAAACCGGAGGAAGGUGGGGAUGACGUCAAAUCAUCAUGCCCCUUAUGAUUUGGGCUACACACGUGCUACAAUGGACAAUACAAAGGGCAGCGAAACCGCGAGGUCAAGCAAAUCCCAUAAAGUUGUUCUCAGUUCGGAUUGUAGUCUGCAACUCGACUACAUGAAGCUGGAAUCGCUAGUAAUCGUAGAUCAGCAUGCUACGGUGAAUACGUUCCCGGGUCUUGUACACACCGCCCGUCACACCACGAGAGUUUGUAACACCCGAAGCCGGUGGAGUAACCUUUUAGGAGCUAGCCGUCGAAGGUGGGACAAAUGAUUGGGGUGAAGUCGUAACAAGGUAGCCGUAUCGGAAGGUGCGGCUGGAUCACCU
This 1540-nucleotide ribosomal RNA is filed under the name Staphylococcus aureus. RNAcentral's name for it is "16S ribosomal RNA". It matches the Rfam family "Bacterial small subunit ribosomal RNA". RNAcentral also lists the same sequence under 574 other names. The record is from RNAcentral. Lineage: Bacteria; Bacillati; Bacillota; Bacilli; Caryophanales; Staphylococcaceae.